RNAcentral lists this ribosomal RNA (507 nucleotides) under Xylariaceae sp. CO-WC-2012. RNAcentral describes it as "eukaryotic LSU rRNA". It matches the Rfam family "Eukaryotic large subunit ribosomal RNA", at positions 80 to 597 of the family's 3401-position model. Lineage: Eukaryota; Fungi; Ascomycota; Sordariomycetes; Xylariales; Xylariaceae. The record is from RNAcentral.
CUAGUAACGGCGAGUGAAGCGGCAACAGCUCAAAUUUGAAAUCUGGCCCUCGGGUCCGAGUUGUAAUUUGUAGAGGAUGCUUUUGGCGCGGUGCCUUCCGAGUUCCCUGGAACGGGACGCCUUAGAGGGUGAGAGCCCCGUACGGUUGGACACCAAGCCUCUGUAAAGCUCCUUCGACGAGUCGAGUAGUUUGGGAAUGCUGCUCUAAAUGGGAGGUAAAUUUCUUCUAAAGCUAAAUAUUGGCCAGAGACCGAUAGCGCACAAGUAGAGUGAUCGAAAGAUGAAAAGCACUUUGAAAAGAGGGUUAAAUAGCACGUGAAAUUGUUGAAAGGGAAGCGUUUGCGACCAGACCUUUUCCUAGCGGAUCAUCCGGUGUUCUCACCGGUGCACUUCGCUAGGUCGAGGCCAGCAUCGGUUUUCGUAGGGGGAUAAAAGCCCUGGGAACGUAGCUCCUCCGGGAGUGUUAUAGCCCUCUGCAUAAUACCCUUACGGGGACCGAGGACCGCG